Molecule: ribosomal RNA, 450 nt
Filed under: uncultured bacterium
Lineage: Bacteria
Description: bacterial SSU rRNA
Rfam family: Bacterial small subunit ribosomal RNA
Source: RNAcentral
GUUUGAUCAUGGCUCAGAACGAACGCUGGCGGCAUGCCUAACACAUGCAAGUCGAACGAGACCUUCGGGUCUAGUGGCGCACGGGUGCGUAACGCGUGGGAAUCUGCCCUUUGCUUCGGAAUAACACAGAGAAAUUUGUGCUAAUACCGGAUAAUGUCGCAAGACCAAAGAUUUAUCGGCAAAGGAUGAGCCCGCGUAAGAUUAGGUAGUUGGUGGGGUAAUGGCCUACCAAGCCGACGAUCUUUAGCUGGUCUGAGAGGAUGAUCAGCCACACUGGGACUGAGACACGGCCCAGACUCCUACGGGAGGCAGCAGUGGGGAAUAUUGGACAAUGGGCGAAAGCCUGAUCCAGCAAUGCCGCGUGAGUGAUGAAGGCCUUAGGGUUGUAAAGCUCUUUUACCCGGGAUGAUAAUGACAGUACCGGGAGAAUAAGCUCCGGCUAACUCCGUG